RNAcentral lists this microRNA (22 nucleotides) under Ophiophagus hannah (king cobra). RNAcentral describes it as "oha-miR-30d-3p". Its record names the gene oha-miR-30d-3p. Lineage: Eukaryota; Metazoa; Chordata; Lepidosauria; Squamata; Elapidae. RNAcentral also lists the same sequence under 1 other name. The record is from miRBase by way of RNAcentral.
CUUUCAGUCCGAUGUUUGCUGC